CCCCAUCGCGAUCCCUCUGCUCUCUCUCUCCCCCCUCUUUCGCACGGACCUCGAGGAGGAAUUUUCGAGAUUCGGGAACGUCUAAUCGCUUCCAGGUGGUUAAAGAAGAGAAGAAAAAGUGAAAGUCAUACUUUUGGGAGGCGGUGGGGCGAAAAAAGCAACCGGCCGUUUGGGCUGGCGGUCAUGUCGCCUUUGCAUGGAAGUGGUUGUGGGAAGGUUGGCCAUUGUUCUCUCCAUGGGAAAGUGCCAAAAGAAAGAGAAUUAAGAAUCAAGAAUGGGAAAAAAGAUAAGGCUGGGUAACGUCUCCAGUUUGGACCGAGGGCUUGUAAGUAGUGGUUGGG
RNAcentral lists this long non-coding RNA (341 nucleotides) under Phoenix dactylifera (date palm). RNAcentral describes it as "long non-coding RNA (PDAC_LNC006973)". Lineage: Eukaryota; Viridiplantae; Streptophyta; Magnoliopsida; Arecales; Arecaceae. The record is from RNAcentral.